ACGUAGGCAGCAAGCGUUGUUCGGAGUUACUGGGCGUAAAGGGUGUGUAGGCGGUCUUCUAAGUCUGGUGUGAAAUCUCCCGGCUCAACUGGGAGGGUGCGCCGAAAACUGGAAGGCUAGAGUGCGGGAUGGGAGAGUGGAAUUCCUGGUGUAGCGGUGAAAUGCGUAGAUAUCGGGAGGAACGCCAGUGGCGAAGGCGAGUCUCUGGGAUGAUACUGACGCUGAUGCUCGAAAGCUAGGGGAGCAAACGGGA
RNAcentral lists this ribosomal RNA (253 nucleotides) under uncultured prokaryote. Its description in RNAcentral is "partial 16S ribosomal RNA". It matches the Rfam family "Bacterial small subunit ribosomal RNA", at positions 525 to 777 of the family's 1533-position model. The record is from RNAcentral.